This 290-nucleotide unclassified non-coding RNA is filed under the name Hevea brasiliensis (rubber tree). Lineage: Eukaryota; Viridiplantae; Streptophyta; Magnoliopsida; Malpighiales; Euphorbiaceae. The record is from RNAcentral.
GGGGACAUGUAUUUUUGGAUAGGAGCAUAUUAUUUUAGUAUGCUAAUAUGGAAAGUAUUGCAUAUUAUUAUUAAAGUUAUAUUCUUAUGUAACGCUUAUAUGCCAUCUCUAUUAUAAUAGUUUUCUUAACAAUUGGGGUAGAAUUGAUAAGGGGUAAAAGUUUAGGAUUUAAUUAGUAAUUUUUAUAGUAUAGGGUAGAAUUGCAAAAAUUUGAAAAGUAUAAGGUUUUUUGGCAGUUAUCCCUUACCAUUUCUGGUUUUCUUCUAUGGUUACUUUCUAAUACAUCAAUG